This 1005-nucleotide long non-coding RNA is filed under the name Monodelphis domestica (gray short-tailed opossum). Its description in RNAcentral is "lncRNA (ENSMODG00000036990.1)". Lineage: Eukaryota; Metazoa; Chordata; Mammalia; Didelphimorphia; Didelphidae. The record is from RNAcentral.
AUAUUAUAUAUAUAAAAUAUACUCAGUUCAAAUGAGUUAAAGCAUGGAAAAUGCCUUGCAAUGCAUCAAUUAUCAUCAUUCAUUCAUUCAUUCAAAUUUUAGUCAUUUGACAUAAUGGUAAGGACAGAAUAUCAGGAGCAAUGACUGUGCUUUUCUGUUCUGAAUGUCUGUCUCCACCACAUUUUUGCCUCCCACUUGACUAUUGUUUAUAGGGCUGUGUAAUGCAAUAUAUGCAUUUAAAGUCCAGCCAUUGUUCACCCUUGUUUGCUGCAUGACCUCGUGCCCAGUGCAUUGACCACCCUGGCCUUUUGUGGAGCUCUUCAUUUGCCUGGAAGAGCCAACACAUCUUUUUCUGUGACCCAAUUGGUCAGCAAAAGCUAAUGUUUUCCCAUCUUCUCUUAGGUCGGCAUUCAUUUGUGUUGCUCAUGGCCAACAUCUUUGUGUUGAUUUUCACAGAUAGCUCAUUAUAGCUUAGCUUUAUAUGGAAGGAUCUGAAAGGUGCUAAGGCUCCUUUGGUUUUUCUGAUACAAACUAUGUCCAUAUUGAGAAUCUACUAGGUUUGUGACCCAGGGAAAUAUAUUUCCGUGUCUAUUUGAUUCAAUCCAGUUUAUAUUCAAUUUCAAUUCUCAGGAUAGGAAGGGGGAGGUUUGAAGGAACAAAAUUUUAUUAAGUGCUGUAGGGGAAAAUUAUUUAUUAUAUUUAGAAAAAUCAUUACAUUGUUUGAAUCUAACCUUAUGUUGUCUGUAUUCAGGUUGUCCUCUGACCUCAAUAACUCUUCAGGAAUGAUAGAGAAGGCUAAAACAUAUGUUGGAUUCCCCAGGUCCUGAAGCCACCCAGAACAUUCUUACUCUCCAUGAGAUGCUAUGUUUGCUGCUCAUUGGAACAGAGAGAUGCUCGCAGACACUACUCCAACACUCCACAGCUCCUUCCUUACAAGAACACUCCUGGGCUAGACAAGGAGGGAGCAGGCAUUGAUUAAGUGCCAACUAUGUGCCAGGUAUUGUG